RNAcentral lists this ribosomal RNA (523 nucleotides) under Lupocyclus inaequalis. RNAcentral's name for it is "partial 16S ribosomal RNA". It matches the Rfam family "Bacterial large subunit ribosomal RNA", at positions 1834 to 2608 of the family's 2925-position model. The record is from RNAcentral. Lineage: Eukaryota; Metazoa; Arthropoda; Malacostraca; Decapoda; Portunidae.
UUUGAGGAUAUAUAUAGUCUAGCCUGCUCACUGACAUAAAUGUUAAAUAGCCGCGGUAUUUUGACCGUGCAAAGGUAGCAUAAUCAUUAGUUUUUUAAUUGGAAACUCGUAUGAAUGGUUGGACAAAGAAAAAUCUGUCUCUUUUAUUAAUAUUGAAUUUGACUUUUAAGUGAAAAGGCUUAAAUUUUCUAGAGGGACGAUAAGACCCUAUAAAGCUUUAUAAAUUCAAUAAUUUUAUGGAUUUGAAAAAUAAAGGUAAUUUUGAAAAAUUUAUUUGGUUGGGGCGACAAAAGUAUAAUUAAAAUAACUGCUAGUAUAUUAAACAAUAAUUUUUGAUUAGAUUUAUAAAUGAUCCCUUUUAAGGAUUAAAAGAUCAAGUUACUUUAGGGAUAACAGCGUAAUCUUUUUUGAGAGUACUUAUCAAAAAAAAGGUUUGCGACCUCGAUGUUGAAUUAAAAUGUCUUUAUGGUGCAGCAGCUAUAUAAGAAGGUCUGUUCGACCUUUAAUUUUUUACAUGAUUUGA